RNAcentral lists this ribosomal RNA (371 nucleotides) under uncultured eukaryote. Its description in RNAcentral is "partial 18S ribosomal RNA". It matches the Rfam family "Eukaryotic small subunit ribosomal RNA", at positions 592 to 976 of the family's 1831-position model. The record is from RNAcentral.
CAAUAGCGUAUAUUAAAGUUGUUGCAGUUAAAAAGCUCGUAGUUGGAUUUCUGUCUGAGCUGACCGGUCUGCUCUUCGAGUGGGACCUGGCUCAUCUUGGACAUCCUUCUGGAGCGUCUGUGCCUCACGGCACGGAUGAUUCCAGAGCCUUUACUUUGAGAAAAUUAGAGUGUUUCAAGCAAGCAUUUGCUUUGAAUACUGCAGCAUGGAAUAAUCUUAUAGGACUUCGUUCCUAUUUGUUGGUUCUAGGACUGAAGUAAUGAUUAAUAGGGACAGUUGGGGGCAUUCGUAUUUAACUGUCAGAGGUGAAAUUCUUGGAUUUGUUAAAGACGAACUACUGCGAAAGCAUUUGCCAAGGAUGUUUUCAUUAA